Long non-coding RNA from Pogonomyrmex barbatus (red harvester ant), 597 nucleotides. RefSeq lists it as uncharacterized. Lineage: Eukaryota; Metazoa; Arthropoda; Insecta; Hymenoptera; Formicidae. The record is from RefSeq and is a predicted model, not a curated record.
GCGCCGCUGAUUUCAUUGCUUCUCUCACGGCGGGAAGCCCUAGAGACAUUGAGUGCUUUCCAACAAGAAGAAUUUGUUGUUACACAAUGUGACACAAAGAGACACUGUAAGAGGCACUGUGGGUGCUUUCCAACACAUACACAGACGACACCGUGUAACACAAUGUCUACACUGGUGCUUUCCAUCUAUGACACAGAGAGACACAGAACGACACUGCAAAACACAGUUCGAUCCUAAGUUUGGCCGUGUCAGACGUCAAUGGGUGCUUUCCAAUAAGGAGAGUUUGGUGUGACACAGAGAGACAUUGUACAAAGCGCUUUAUUUUAUAUUUGUGAAAUAACUAUGAUCUUUUCGAUUUGACAUUACAUGGAAUCUCAUUCAUUUCAGGAAAACUUCUUUUCUUUUGAAACAAGUAUGAUGCUUAACAUCAUCUAAUGUAGAAAUAAUUCCUUUACAAUGCUGACAAAAGAACAUAUCUGCAAUAAAAAUUAAUCCAAUAGAAUUUGUAACUAAUAAUGGGUCAUCAACAAAUACGUAAUGUUUUUAAGCUUAUAUAAUUCUUUAAAUAAAAUAAACUGAAUAUUGAUUACCUAAGAA